ACUUAAAUAGUUUAAAAAUAAAAUUUUAAUUUGUGGAGUUAAAGAUAUGAAUAUUUCAUUUUAAGUU
This 67-nucleotide transfer RNA is filed under the name Megalodontes quinquecinctus. RNAcentral's name for it is "tRNA-His". Lineage: Eukaryota; Metazoa; Arthropoda; Insecta; Hymenoptera; Megalodontesidae. The record is from RNAcentral.